Long non-coding RNA from Oncorhynchus tshawytscha (Chinook salmon), 413 nucleotides. Lineage: Eukaryota; Metazoa; Chordata; Actinopteri; Salmoniformes; Salmonidae. The record is from Ensembl.
ACAAACUGCAGUACCCCCAAAUCGAUUUGCGUUGGGUGGCCUAGUGGUUAGAGUGUAGGGGUGGCAGGUAGUCUAGUGGUUAGAGUGUAGGGGCGGCAGGUAGACUAGUGGUUAGAGUGUAGGGGCGGCAGGUAGACUAGUGGUUAGAGUGUAGGGGCGGCAGGUAGCCUAGUGGUUAGAGUGUAGGGGCGGCCGGUAGUCUAGUGGUUAGAGUGUAGGGGCGGCAGGUAGACUAGUGGUUAGAGUGUAGGGGUGGCAGGUAGACUAGUGGUUAGAGUGUAGGGGCGGCAGGUAGCCUAGUGGUUAGAGUGUAGGGGCGGCAGGUAGCCUAGUGGUUAGUGUUGGACUAGUAACCGGAAGGUUGCAAGAUCGAAUCCCUCGAGCUGACAAGGUAAAAAUCUGUCGUUCUGCCC